Long non-coding RNA from Chenopodium quinoa (quinoa), 1266 nucleotides. RefSeq lists it as uncharacterized. NCBI's taxonomy places the organism in Eukaryota, Viridiplantae, Streptophyta, Magnoliopsida, Caryophyllales, Amaranthaceae. The record is from RefSeq and is a predicted model, not a curated record. The transcript has 2 exons.
UAAAAGGAGUAACUCCUAUUACACCUAUUACAAAUCACACAUACAUCUAACCCAUACAAAAACCAAACGAGAAAACACUCAAUGUCUUCUUCCAGCCAAGAAAUGGAUACUCAAGUCCCUAACCCUGAGCUACUGCCAUUUAAUGGCGGCACGACAUCUGCCUCAAGUGGCCAUCGGCAGCAAAAAAAGAGGACCAGAGCUGGCCGUCACAGUCUUCUUGCGACCUUUGCUGCCGGGAAGUCUCUCGCAUGCUGGGAGGCUGCGAACUCAAGUCACCUACCCUGCCUCAGCCUUUGCCUUUGCCUGUGCCUGUAGUUAUCGACGAUGUUGUCGUCGACCUAACUGAUGAGCCUGAGGUUACUGGUGUCACAUAUCCUGAAAUGUCUGGUGGUUCUACAACCGUCAUUUGUCUUAGUGGUGAUGAUACUGAGGUCGAGUCCAAAGGCGAUGAUGCUACCCCUCUUAAAGCAUCAAAGGCCGUCCUUGUCACUUUGUCCCAAAGAUAACAUUCCGGGUUCGAAGACUCACAGACGGUGACCCCAGGUUUGAGUACAGCCUAAAGGUUAAUGAAAAUUUCGAGAAGAUUUACUACGACUACGCUGCGAGAGUAGACCGCCUCCCGGAUGAAAUCUUCAUUAAGAAGGCUAUAGGGCAAACGCAGGGCUCGUGUGGGAUUCUGACUGGGUCCAUCCUCUAUGUGGUUGGGCAGAACUUCGAGGAUAACUUGGACGUCUGUACCAAGCUUGUGUAUCUUUGUCAGCUGCGCACCCGCCCGCGUAUGAAGGAGGUGAUCGUCCCUGUCUUCGCAAAUUUGAAGGUGCUGUCCAAGAUCUGGAGUGAUGAGGUCGAUGUGAAUCAGGAGAUCAUACAAAUGAGAAUCGGAAUGUCCUCCCGUGUCAGACUUUCCGUGAUGUUGGUAUUCGGAAUGGGCACGAGGUGUUUUGCUUAACCAAUAUCUAGUCCAGUCUUUGUCGAGGGAGAUGUUUUUGUCCUUGUCAUGGAGUUGUUAUGUUUUUGUUAAGUUGACAAGUGAAUUUGCUAAUUAAGUUAAUGAAAUCACCUUGGAGCAUGAAUCCGUCUUUUGUAGGUCAAUUGUGGUGAUACUCUUUAAGGCCAUUUGUGUCAUAAUCUAGAAGGCCAUUUGAGUCAUAGUCUAGUAGUAGGUGUUUCUAGUCUUUUGUGUCAAAGUCCCAUGUGAUUUGGGCAACAAUAUCAACCUUUUUCUGUAUUAUUUUUGGUUGAUUAAUGAAAUGAUCAGUUGGUUUA